GUACCAGACAGAGGCCAGGCAGUCUGCAGAGUGGACCUGGGAAGAGGACUAUGUCCGAAAACUGACGGAGCACCAGGAACUACAAGGCUUGAGCAGUGAGACAGCCAGCUGCACUCGGGAUGUCACAACACGUCUUGAUAAAUUAGAGAAGGAAAUAAAGACGAUUGAGAAGCAACAUGCCCUCCAAGAAAGAUGGAUUCUGACAAGUGAAUCGUGUCUCCACAUCCA
Molecule: long non-coding RNA, 228 nt
Organism: Dicentrarchus labrax (European seabass)
Lineage: Eukaryota; Metazoa; Chordata; Actinopteri; Moronidae
Exons: 3
Source: RefSeq, a predicted model, not a curated record